CAGCCGUAAACUAUGCUCGCUAGGUGUCAGGCAUGGCGCGACCGUGUCUGGUGCCGCAGGGAAGCCGUGAAGCGAGCCACCUGGGAAGUACGGCCGCAAGGCUGAACUUAAGGAAUUGGCGGGGGAGCACAACAACGGGUGGAGCCUGCGGUUUAAUUGGACUCAACGCCGGGAAGCUCACCGGAUAAGACAGCGGAAUGAUUGCCGGGCUGAAGACUCUGCAUGACUAGCUGAGAGGAGGUGCAUGGCGUAGAC
RNAcentral lists this ribosomal RNA (255 nucleotides) under uncultured archaeon. RNAcentral's name for it is "partial 16S ribosomal RNA". It matches the Rfam family "Archaeal small subunit ribosomal RNA", at positions 748 to 1005 of the family's 1478-position model. The record is from RNAcentral.